Molecule: ribosomal RNA, 460 nt
Filed under: uncultured bacterium
Lineage: Bacteria
Description: partial 16S ribosomal RNA
Rfam family: Bacterial small subunit ribosomal RNA
Source: RNAcentral
CCUACGGGAGGCAGCAGUGAGGAAUAUUGGUCAAUGGACGAGAGUCUGAACCAGCCAAGUAGCGUGAAGGAUGACUGCCCUAUGGGUUGUAAACUUCUUUUAUAUGGGAAUAAAAUGUUCCACGUGUGGGAUUUUGUAUGUACCAUAUGAAUAAGGAUCGGCUAACUCCGUGCCAGCAGCCGCGGUAAUACGGAGGAUCCGAGCGUUAUCCGGAUUUAUUGGGUUUAAAGGGAGCGUAGGUGGAUUGUUAAGUCAGUUGUGAAAGUUUGCGGCUCAACCGUAAAAUUGCAGUUGAAACUGGCAGUCUUGAGUACAGUAGAGGUGGGCGGAAUGCGUGGUGUAGCGGUGAAAUGCUUAGAUAUCACGAAGAACUCUGAUUGCGAAGGCAGUUCACUGGACUGCAACUGACACUGAGGCUCGAAAGUGUGGGUAUCAAACAGGAUUAGAUACCCUAGUAGUC